This 253-nucleotide ribosomal RNA is filed under the name uncultured bacterium. RNAcentral's name for it is "partial 16S ribosomal RNA". It matches the Rfam family "Bacterial small subunit ribosomal RNA", at positions 524 to 776 of the family's 1533-position model. The record is from RNAcentral.
UACGAAGGGGGCUAGCGUUGCUCGGAAUCACUGGGCGUAAAGGGUGCGUAGGCGGGGCUUUAAGUCAGGGGUGAAAUCCUGGAGCUCAACUCCAGAACUGCCUUUGAUACUGAGGAUCUUGAGUUCGGGAGAGGUGAGUGGAACUGCGAGUGUAGAGGUGAAAUUCGUAGAUAUUCGCAAGAACACCAGUGGCGAAGGCGGCUCACUGGCCCGAUACUGAUGCUGAGGCACGAAAGCGUGGGGAGCAAACAGG